RNAcentral lists this long non-coding RNA (1372 nucleotides) under Amborella trichopoda. RNAcentral's name for it is "long non-coding RNA (ATRI_LNC002167)". Lineage: Eukaryota; Viridiplantae; Streptophyta; Magnoliopsida; Amborellales; Amborellaceae. The record is from RNAcentral.
AAGAAAACUAAAAGGAAGACAAGUGAGAAAACAUUUGUAUUUAUUAUUUAAAACAUAUAAAAGGAAGGGGAAUACAUCAAGUUAAUGAGCAUUUGGUUCACGUCUUUGGAAUGUAGCCAAUUGUGCCAAAGUUCCCCCUUCUAUAUAUAUAUAUAUAGUAUGAGAUGCUAAAAAGCAUCAAACAUCAGAUGAGGAAAAAGCAAAGAGGCAAAUAAGUGAAAAUGAGAUCAAGAUGUUGAUAUUGAAGAGGAGUUUGAGUACUCCCUCAGACAAGAAGGAGAUUUUGGAAAGAGCCUGUCACCUCAGUAUCUAGCAAGCCAAAGAGGCAAGGUCCUAGAACAACACCAGGCUCCUGUGUUGGCUGGGGAGCAAGCAAUAGAGCGACCAUAUUUGUCUGCAGUUCGUGUUCGCCCUGUUACAACAGAUCUUUUAGUUUUCGAAACACAAAUGGGUUAUAUAUUAGCAUAAAAAUUCUAUUUCAACACAAAAUGGAUUUUCAACAAAUAAUUGGCAUGCAGGCUUUCCAUCAAUCUAAAAAGUCAGUCACUUUAGCUUGUUAUAAAUUUUAUUAACACUCUAUAAAUGAUGCAUUAAGAUCACAACUUUUUCAUGCAUAAAAAAAUCAAAACCCAAAAUCAAGUAUGAUUGUCGUGAACCUCGUCUAAGCAAACCAGAGCAAAUUUCCAACCAACAUAUUUAAAUCAAAACUCAAUAUACAUCACUCUAACCAACUAAAAUGAUGCCCUAUAAUUUUCUGAUUUACUCCUUGCUCGUGCAAAUCUUUUCUCAACUUCAAGUAGUAUCUUAGAUACAAAUUAUGAGCAAAACCAUCAAACAAAUUCACCAAAUUUGUAGACUUGUAGGCCUUAUUUUGUUAAUUGUCUAAAGAGAAAAACUUGUUGAGCUUUUCAUGAGUAUAUUGCAAGAGAGGGUAGAGAUGUUGUUAGAAGCAAUCUGGUGAGAGAAAGAGGUAAACAACACGGUGCCGCUGGUACAAGGUACUUUAACCCCUCCAAAACCCGUCUAAUAUAUAGCUACUCAAAAGGAAAAAGAACUAAUACACUGCUCCUUCAAAUUUACUUUUGCCAAAAUAAAAAUAAAAUUGGCCCAAUUAUUUUCAAAUAUUUUAGAAACACCCCUAUUUUUCCUUCAACAUUCCCCCCUUGUUUCAAAUUAUUGUACAAUCAUCAUAUAGAAUUUUUGGUACCGAUAUAUAAGUUGUUGAGCUUUACAUCCUCAGACAACAAAUCUAUAUAUAUACAUAUAUGAUCCAUCCACUUUCACACCCUUUCCCACACUCAGUAAUUAUUGUGAUGUAGUACAUGCUCAUGAACAAGAUCAUGAACUUCAUCUAUAUGCUUUUAGAUUAGUG